RNAcentral lists this ribosomal RNA (488 nucleotides) under Veillonella sp. oral clone R18. Its description in RNAcentral is "bacterial SSU rRNA". It matches the Rfam family "Bacterial small subunit ribosomal RNA", at positions 1 to 469 of the family's 1533-position model. Lineage: Bacteria; Bacillati; Bacillota; Negativicutes; Veillonellales; Veillonellaceae. The record is from RNAcentral.
CACAGAGUUUGAUCCUGGCUCAGGACGAACGCUGGCGGCGUGCUUAACACAUGCAAGUCGAACGAAGAGCGAUGGAAGCUUGCUUCUAUCAAUCUUAGUGGCGAACGGGUGAGUAACGCGUAAUCAACCUGCCCUUCAGAGGGGGACAACAGUUGGAAACGACUGCUAAUACCGCAUACGAUCCAACCUCGGCAUCGAGGAUGGAUGAAAGGUGGCCUCUAUUUAUAAGCUAUCACUGAAGGAGGGGAUUGCGUCUGAUUAGCUAGUUGGAGGGGUAACGGCCCACCAAGGCAAUGAUCAGUAGCCGGUCUGAGAGGAUGAACGGCCACAUUGGGACUGAGACACGGCCCAGACUCCUACGGGAGGCAGCAGUGGGGAAUCUUCCGCAAUGGACGAAAGUCUGACGGAGCAACGCCGCGUGAGUGAUGACGGCCUUCGGGUUGUAAAGCUCUGUUAAUCGGGACGAAUUGUCCUCUUGCGAAUGGUGA